ACGUUUGUGAUUCAGUGGUAGAAUUCCUUCCUUUCAUGCAGGAGACCCAGGUUCAAUUCUCAGCCAAUGCA
This 71-nucleotide transfer RNA is filed under the name Loxodonta africana (African savanna elephant). It matches the Rfam family "tRNA". Rfam says of the family: Transfer RNA (tRNA) molecules are approximately 80 nucleotides in length. Their secondary structure includes four short double-helical elements and three loops (D, anti-codon, and T loops). Further hydrogen bonds mediate the characteristic L-shaped molecular structure. tRNAs have two regions of fundamental functional importance: the anti-codon, which is responsible for specific mRNA codon recognition, and the 3' end, to which the tRNAs corresponding amino acid is attached (by aminoacyl-tRNA synthetases). tRNAs cope with the degeneracy of the genetic code in two manners: having more than one tRNA (with a specific anti-codon) for a particular amino acid; and 'wobble' base-pairing, i.e. permitting non-standard base-pairing at the 3rd anti-codon position. The record is from Rfam by way of RNAcentral. Lineage: Eukaryota; Metazoa; Chordata; Mammalia; Proboscidea; Elephantidae.